ACCAAGGAGUCUAGCAUGUGCGCGAGUCAUUGGGACACGACUAAACCUAAAGGCGAAAUGAAAGUGAAGGUCCGCCUCGCGCGGACCGAGGGAGGAUGGGCACGCCCUCGUGCGGCCCCGCACUCCCGGGGCGUCUCCUUCUCAUCGCGAGAUGAGGCGCACCCAGAGCGUACACGCUGGGACCCGAAAGAUGGUGAACUAUGCCUGGUCAGGACGAAGUCAGGGGAAACCCUGAUGGAGGUCCGUAGCGAUUCUGACGUGCAAAUCGAUCGUCGGAACUGGGUAUAGGGGCGAAAGACUAAUCGAACCAUCUAGUAGCUGGUUCCCUCCGAAGUUUCCCUCAGGAUAGCUGGCGCUCGCCGCGCGCGAGUCUCAUCCGGUAAAGCGAAUGAUUAGAGGCAUUGGGGUCGAAACGGCCUCAACCUAUUCUCAAACUUUAAAUGGGUGAGAUCUCCGGCUUGCUCGAACGCGUGAAGCCGCGAGAUUUCGGAUCAGAGUGCCAAGUGGGCCACUUUUGGUAAGCAGAACUGGCGCUGUGGGAUGAACCAAACGCAGAGUUAAAGCGCCCAAAUCGACGCUUAUGGGAUACCAUGAAAGGCGUUGGUAACUUAAGACAGCAGG
This 621-nucleotide ribosomal RNA is filed under the name Aegus philippinensis. Its description in RNAcentral is "eukaryotic LSU rRNA". It matches the Rfam family "Eukaryotic large subunit ribosomal RNA", at positions 665 to 1244 of the family's 3401-position model. The record is from RNAcentral. Lineage: Eukaryota; Metazoa; Arthropoda; Insecta; Coleoptera; Lucanidae.